AAGAAUCUAGUUUAUUUAAAACAUUAACUUGUCAAGUUAAAAAAAUUAAUUUUAAUGUUUCUUA
Molecule: transfer RNA, 64 nt
Filed under: Liorhyssus hyalinus (hyaline grass bug)
Lineage: Eukaryota; Metazoa; Arthropoda; Insecta; Hemiptera; Rhopalidae
Description: tRNA-Asp
Source: RNAcentral